CAGUCGCCACGGGAAUACAGAGGGUGCAAGCGUUAAUCGGAAUUACUGGGCGUAAAGCGCGCGUAGGUGGUUUGUUAAGUUGGAUGUGAAAUCCCCGGGCUCAACCUGGGAACUGCAUCCAAAACUGGCAAGCUAGAGUAUGGUAGAGGGUGGUGGAAUUUACUGUGUAGCGGUGAAAUGCGUAGAUAUAGGAAGGAACACCAGUGGCGAAGGCGACCACCUGGACUGAUACUGACACUGAGGUGCGAAAGCGUGGGGAGCAAACAGGAUUAGAGACCCCAGUAGUCCCUGUCUCUUAUAC
RNAcentral lists this ribosomal RNA (301 nucleotides) under uncultured bacterium. RNAcentral describes it as "partial 16S ribosomal RNA". It matches the Rfam family "Bacterial small subunit ribosomal RNA", at positions 509 to 807 of the family's 1533-position model. The record is from RNAcentral.